CAACAGCAAAUGUCUUGUUUUUCUAUGUGUUACAGUUUGAUUCACUACUCGUAGGGCCUUCAUUAAAUCAACGUAAAAAUUUGAUGCAUGUGUUCAAAACAAGAUGAAGAUCUAAAGUUAACGAAAUUGCAACUUUUCAUAAUACUGUGUGACCGUGGUGUGGCUUCCAGUUUGAGGUAUGAAAACAUCUAUAUCUGGCAGAUGUGCUGCAAUAUUUAGUCACUAGAUGGCAGUGUCAGACCAUGCUUUGUGUUAUCUAUGCAUUAACAGACUGUGUUUACAGGGUGGCCAACUUUAGAGGAGAAUUAAACCUUUUACAGCAUUGCUCAAACUUUGGUUUUAGUCUCAAUCGCUAAGUUCUUCCUUCAUGACAACUCUGAGGGGGGUAAAUUUGUUUUUAACUUCCUUGUUUAAGCGAUAUAGAUGUUUGAAAUUCACGUGACGCCACAGUGUAAGCUGUGCUGUGUGUUGUGAGUUCGGCUUUAACCAGGUACAAGUGAACGCCUCAUGAAAUGGCUUACACCCACAUACCCAGUAAAUUACACACUUUGAUGUUCUGCUCCUUCUCCUGACGGUCACGGUAACGAUGUCUGCGCCUCCGUUUCUGUGGAUGUCCAGCGUAAGACACAACUUGAAUCCAACCAGACUGAACACUGACUCCAGGGACGGACGAGCCUGAAGGACACAGCUGUGAUGACCAUGUUCUGUCUCUUAUGACAAAGCAGAAAUAUAAAACACUGGGUUCUUAUCUAAAGUGUAUCAAAUCAGAUCUCCACCAUGUUGCUGCUGAGGACAUCAGGUGCUGCAGUUCUUCAUCUAUGAAGAUGAAAAAACUCACUGUUAAAGAAUGUUUUGUGUUGUGUAUGAAGCACAACAGAUUUCAGAUAGAACCGUUGUACUGUGGUCUGGGUUUGUAUCCUAAUGGUUAAAUGCACAUAUUUUAAGUCGCUUUUGAUAAAAGUACUGAAAGAAAUACAACAUUGUAAAAAUAGAUAAAAUGUCUUUCUACCUCAUCUGUAAUAUUCAAGGUGAUAAUCUCCCACAGAGCUAUUGAUAACAGUCCACAUCAAGUCUCUCCACUUCCCUCGGUGUGAAAACAUAAUUAUAUAAUUAAUUUGAGAACUGUUUACAACACUUAUGUGUGGAGAUUAUACUCAUAUCUAAACUGUCAUAUUCACUGUAAAACUCCAUGACAGGCUAAAUAAACGCGGUGGGAAUAGUAAUGGUGGAUAUAAUAUAUUGUAACUUUACUAGAACAGACAGUGUUCAUAGAGAAUUUGAAAAUGAUGUACACUACCUAUUUCCUAAGAUGAAAUGAUUAUGAUCUGAUUAUUUUUAUGUUUCCUCUCAUUUUAUUAGGGACGGACGAGCCUGAAGGACACAGCUGUGAUGACCAAUUGACCAUGUUUUGUCUCUUAUGGCAAAGCAGAAAUAUUAAACACUGGGUUCUUAUCUAAAGUGUAUCAAAUCAGAAAGCAAAAGAUACACAUUGUUGUAAUAAGUUUCUAUUAUUUUAACCAACAAUAAUAAAGAUAGAAAUGAAUUGUUAUCCAUGACAAUGAGCAAUGACUGUUACCACUAAACAGUUGCAGGCCAUCUUUAUUUAAGGGAGGAAUUUAGAAGUGUUGUGUAGCUUCUGAUGAUGAUGCAGUCGUCCACGUGUUGACCACCAUGUUGCUGCUGACGACGUCAGGUGCUGCAGUUCCUCAUCUAUAAAGAGAAGAAACGCACUGUUAAAGAAUGUUUUGAGUUGUGUAUGAAGCACAACAGAUUUCAGAUAGAACCGUUGUACUGUGGUCUGGGUUUGUAUCCUAAUGGUUAAAUGCACAUAUUUUAAGUCGCUUUUGAUAAAAGUACUGAAAGAAAUACAACAUUGUAAAAAUAGAUAAAAUGUCUUUCUACCUCAUCUGUAAUAUUCAAGGUGAUAAUCUCCCACAGAGCUAUUGAUAACAGUCCACAUCAAGUCUCUCCACUUCCCUCGGUUUGAAAACAUAAUUAUAUAAUUAAUUUGAGAACUGUUUACAACACUGAUGUGUGGAGAUUAUAAUCAUAUCUAAACUGUCAUAUUCACUUUAAAACUCCAUGACAGGCUAAAUAAACGCGGUGGGAAUAGUAAUGGUGGAUAUACCAGCCUUCAACAGAAUA
Long non-coding RNA from Pleuronectes platessa (European plaice), 2145 nucleotides. RefSeq lists it as uncharacterized. The record is from RefSeq and is a predicted model, not a curated record. Lineage: Eukaryota; Metazoa; Chordata; Actinopteri; Pleuronectiformes; Pleuronectidae. The transcript is spliced from 3 exons.